UAAUUUACCUAGUAGGGAAUACACAAUGGUCAAGAAAAUGAUCUUUCCAGGAUGAAUCUCCACCGCUUAGGUGUGCUGAUGUCUGUGUUUCCCCACAGGUGAGAAACUCAACUGCAUACUUUAUGAUAAUACUGGGCUUUUUCGGCAAUUCCCCUUA
Molecule: small nuclear RNA, 157 nt
Filed under: Meriones unguiculatus (Mongolian gerbil)
Lineage: Eukaryota; Metazoa; Chordata; Mammalia; Rodentia; Muridae
Description: U1 spliceosomal RNA (ENSMUGG00000011199.1)
Rfam family: U1 spliceosomal RNA
About the family: U1 is a small nuclear RNA (snRNA) component of the spliceosome (involved in pre-mRNA splicing). Its 5' end forms complementary base pairs with the 5' splice junction, thus defining the 5' donor site of an intron.
Source: RNAcentral